RNAcentral lists this ribosomal RNA (2901 nucleotides) under Escherichia coli. RNAcentral describes it as "23S ribosomal RNA". It matches the Rfam family "Bacterial large subunit ribosomal RNA". The record is from RNAcentral. Lineage: Bacteria; Pseudomonadati; Pseudomonadota; Gammaproteobacteria; Enterobacterales; Enterobacteriaceae.
GGUUAAGCGACUAAGCGUACACGGUGGAUGCCCUGGCAGUCAGAGGCGAUGAAGGACGUGCUAAUCUGCGAUAAGCGUCGGUAAGGUGAUAUGAACCGUUAUAACCGGCGAUUUCCGAAUGGGGAAACCCAGUGUGUUUCGACACACUAUCAUUAACUGAAUCCAUAGGUUAAUGAGGCGAACCGGGGGAACUGAAACAUCUAAGUACCCCGAGGAAAAGAAAUCAACCGAGAUUCCCCAGUAGCGGCGAGCGAACGGGGAGCAGCCCAGAGCCUGAAUCAGUGUGUGUGUUAGUGGAAGCGUCUGGAAAGGCGCGCGAUACAGGGUGACAGCCCCGUACACAAAAAUGCACAUGCUGUGAGCUCGAUGAGUAGGGCGGGACACGUGGUAUCCUGUCUGAAUAUGGGGGGACCAUCCUCCAAGGCUAAAUACUCCUGACUGACCGAUAGUGAACCAGUACCGUGAGGGAAAGGCGAAAAGAACCCCGGCGAGGGGAGUGAAAAAGAACCUGAAACCGUGUACGUACAAGCAGUGGGAGCACGCUUAGGCGUGUGACUGCGUACCUUUGUAUAAUGGGUCAGCGACUUAUAUUCUGUAGCAAGGUUAACCGAAUAGGGGAGCCGAAGGGAAACCGAGUCUUAACUGGGCGUUAAGUUGCAGGGUAUAGACCCGAAACCCGGUGAUCUAGCCAUGGGCAGGUUGAAGGUUGGGUAACACUAACUGGAGGACCGAACCGACUAAUGUUGAAAAAUUAGCGGAUGACUUGUGGCUGGGGGUGAAAGGCCAAUCAAACCGGGAGAUAGCUGGUUCUCCCCGAAAGCUAUUUAGGUAGCGCCUCGUGAAUUCAUCUCCGGGGUAGAGCACUGUUUCGGCAAGGGGUCAUCCCGACUUACCAACCCGAUGCAAACUGCGAAUACCGGAGAAUGUUAUCACGGGAGACACACGGCGGGUGCUAACGUCCGUCGUGAAGAGGGAAACAACCCAGACCGCCAGCUAAGGUCCCAAAGUCAUGGUUAAGUGGGAAACGAUGUGGGAAGGCCCAGACAGCCAGGAUGUUGGCUUAGAAGCAGCCAUCAUUUAAAGAAAGCGUAAUAGCUCACUGGUCGAGUCGGCCUGCGCGGAAGAUGUAACGGGGCUAAACCAUGCACCGAAGCUGCGGCAGCGACGCUUAUGCGUUGUUGGGUAGGGGAGCGUUCUGUAAGCCUGCGAAGGUGUGCUGUGAGGCAUGCUGGAGGUAUCAGAAGUGCGAAUGCUGACAUAAGUAACGAUAAAGCGGGUGAAAAGCCCGCUCGCCGGAAGACCAAGGGUUCCUGUCCAACGUUAAUCGGGGCAGGGUGAGUCGACCCCUAAGGCGAGGCCGAAAGGCGUAGUCGAUGGGAAACAGGUUAAUAUUCCUGUACUUGGUGUUACUGCGAAGGGGGGACGGAGAAGGCUAUGUUGGCCGGGCGACGGUUGUCCCGGUUUAAGCGUGUAGGCUGGUUUUCCAGGCAAAUCCGGAAAAUCAAGGCUGAGGUGUGAUGACGAGGCACUACGGUGCUGAAGCAACAAAUGCCCUGCUUCCAGGAAAAGCCUCUAAGCAUCAGGUAACAUCAAAUCGUACCCCAAACCGACACAGGUGGUCAGGUAGAGAAUACCAAGGCGCUUGAGAGAACUCGGGUGAAGGAACUAGGCAAAAUGGUGCCGUAACUUCGGGAGAAGGCACGCUGAUAUGUAGGUGAAGUCCCUCGCGGAUGGAGCUGAAAUCAGUCGAAGAUACCAGCUGGCUGCAACUGUUUAUUAAAAACACAGCACUGUGCAAACACGAAAGUGGACGUAUACGGUGUGACGCCUGCCCGGUGCCGGAAGGUUAAUUGAUGGGGUUAGCCGCAAGGCGAAGCUCUUGAUCGAAGCCCCGGUAAACGGCGGCCGUAACUAUAACGGUCCUAAGGUAGCGAAAUUCCUUGUCGGGUAAGUUCCGACCUGCACGAAUGGCGUAAUGAUGGCCAGGCUGUCUCCACCCGAGACUCAGUGAAAUUGAACUCGCUGUGAAGAUGCAGUGUACCCGCGGCAAGACGGAAAGACCCCGUGAACCUUUACUAUAGCUUGACACUGAACAUUGAGCCUUGAUGUGUAGGAUAGGUGGGAGGCUUUGAAGUGUGGACGCCAGUCUGCAUGGAGCCGACCUUGAAAUACCACCCUUUAAUGUUUGAUGUUCUAACGUUGACCCGUAAUCCGGGUUGCGGACAGUGUCUGGUGGGUAGUUUGACUGGGGCGGUCUCCUCCUAAAGAGUAACGGAGGAGCACGAAGGUUGGCUAAUCCUGGUCGGACAUCAGGAGGUUAGUGCAAUGGCAUAAGCCAGCUUGACUGCGAGCGUGACGGCGCGAGCAGGUGCGAAAGCAGGUCAUAGUGAUCCGGUGGUUCUGAAUGGAAGGGCCAUCGCUCAACGGAUAAAAGGUACUCCGGGGAUAACAGGCUGAUACCGCCCAAGAGUUCAUAUCGACGGCGGUGUUUGGCACCUCGAUGUCGGCUCAUCACAUCCUGGGGCUGAAGUAGGUCCCAAGGGUAUGGCUGUUCGCCAUUUAAAGUGGUACGCGAGCUGGGUUUAGAACGUCGUGAGACAGUUCGGUCCCUAUCUGCCGUGGGCGCUGGAGAACUGAGGGGGCUGCUCCUAGUACGAGAGGACCGGAGUGGACGCAUCACUGGUGUUCGGGUUGUCAUGCCAAUGGCACUGCCCGGUAGCUAAAUGCGGAAGAGAUAAGUGCUGAAAGCAUCUAAGCACGAAACUUGCCCCGAGAUGAGUUCUCCCUGACCCUUUAAGGGUCCUGAAGGAACGUUGAAGACGACGACGUUGAUAGGCCGGGUGUGUAAGCGCAGCGAUGCGUUGAGCUAACCGGUACUAAUGAACCGUGAGGCUUAACCUU